RNAcentral lists this ribosomal RNA (253 nucleotides) under uncultured microorganism. RNAcentral's name for it is "partial 16S ribosomal RNA". It matches the Rfam family "Bacterial small subunit ribosomal RNA", at positions 524 to 776 of the family's 1533-position model. The record is from RNAcentral.
UACGUAGGGUGCGAGCGUUAAUCGGAUUUACUGGGCGUAAAGCGUGCGCAGGCGGCCCGUUAAGACAGGUGUGAAAUCCCUGGGCUCAACCUAGGAAUUGCGCUUGUGACUGGCGGGCUCGAGUACGGUAGAGGGGGGUGGAAUUCCUGGUGUAGCAGUGAAAUGCGUAGAGAUCAGGAGGAACACCGAUGGCGAAGGCAGCCCCCUGGGCCUGUACUGACGCUCAUGAACGAAAGCGUGGGGAGCAAACAGG